AUUCUUCCUUCUGCUGUUUUGUCCGCUGGGCAGCUUUGAUGUCGCGUGGAAGAAGGACAGACCCUUCCUAGCAGAGCAGGUAAGGUGCUGUAGUUGUAUUUGAUGGGCUGAUAGUCGAGGCCACAGACUGAGAAUUCAGACCAGCAUUGCUGUUUGGGCCUCACACACGCUCUUUGCGAGUCAUCUGCUUUGUAUUAAUGAUAUACUGAAAAAUCCUUUCUUUUCUUGUGGGGGAGAAAAAGCAAGGUAGUGCUCUCAGGUAUAGCUCUUCAUGAGUCGUUCCUGUGAAAGAUGACGUGUUCUGCAGCUUUUGUAGAUGGUUCUGUCUCCACUGACCAAUGAGCUUGAAGCCAUCCAUAGUUUUCUUAUGUUAGGUAUGUUCUGUCCUUGGUUUUCCUCACCUACUACAAAGUGACAACAUCUUGUCUCUCCCCCUCUCCCACGCCCUCGUGUGGAAGCAACAAAGCUAAAGUAGUCAGGGUUGUGGAGGAAGAAACAAAUCUGUCAUUUAACGCAACCGAGGUGGAUUACUUUUGCAGAGAGAAACCGCUUGGAUGUAAUCUGCUCUCUCCUGUCCUGAAUUCUGCGUUUGGCCAAGCGGAUGCUGGAGCCCGAAGGGAUUGUGGCCAGUCUGAGCUGAGUUAGCGGAGGUGCUUAGCUCUUAGAAAGCAAAGUGGAGUCUGAUUGAGCCCGGAGCUCAGGAACACCAGAGCUCAGGUGUCGCUGCCGUGCCUUCCUUAAUGGUCCCCUGGAAGCAUCGAAGAAUGCAAAUAUGUACACAGAGGUUCCCAG
Molecule: long non-coding RNA, 792 nt
Organism: Gekko japonicus
Lineage: Eukaryota; Metazoa; Chordata; Lepidosauria; Squamata; Gekkonidae
Exons: 3
Source: RefSeq, a predicted model, not a curated record